This 253-nucleotide unclassified non-coding RNA is filed under the name uncultured Acidobacteriota bacterium. RNAcentral's name for it is "uncultured Acidobacteria bacterium contains 16S-23S intergenic spacer region". It matches the Rfam family "Bacterial small subunit ribosomal RNA", at positions 524 to 776 of the family's 1533-position model. Lineage: Bacteria; Pseudomonadati; Acidobacteriota. The record is from RNAcentral.
UACGGGGGGGGCAAGCGUUGUUCGGAAUUACUGGGCGUAAAGGGCGCGUAGGCGGUUCGUUAAGUUGGACGUGAAAACUCUGGGCUCAACCCAGAGCCUGCAUCCAAAACUGGCGGGCUAGAGUUCUGGAGGGGAUAGCGGAAUUCCUGGUGUAGCGGUGAAAUGCGUAGAUAUCAGGAGGAACACCGGUGGCGAAGGCGGCUAUCUGGACAGAAACUGACGCUGAGGCGCGAAAGCUAGGGGAGCAAACAGG